ACUGCCACAGCAGAUUAGAAGAGUGGUCCACUGGGGCUGCCGUGCCAGCACCACUGUAGCUAUCUCUAAAAGCGCGAGAGAAAUGAUGCGUGUGACCUGGAGUGACAAAAGGAAAGAGGAUACCAUCUUCCAUCUGAAGAAGCAUGCUGAGACCCCUCUGGACUUCACUAGGAUUAAGGCUUGCCCAGCUCUGUGGUACAAGAUGAAUUAUAUUAGAAAAACAAUAAGGGAAGAAGAUGGAUACAGUGCUGACCAAU
Long non-coding RNA from Vidua macroura (Pin-tailed whydah), 257 nucleotides. RefSeq lists it as uncharacterized. The record is from RefSeq and is a predicted model, not a curated record. Lineage: Eukaryota; Metazoa; Chordata; Aves; Passeriformes; Viduidae. The transcript has 3 exons.